CAAAAAAACAGUUUAAUCUUAUUCAAUUUGUGUUUGUGACAAAUUCAUUUUACAACUAAUCAAUUUACAGAUAAUAUGUGUUGUAACGAUCAAAAUCCAACCGUCGAUAAUCACAUUCACAGUUUACGUUUAUUAAAGUUAUAUAAAUUAUUUUUUCACGUUUCAAUAAAUUAUUCACAGAAAUCAUACAGAAGAUCACGCUGCCAUACAAUAUGAUUCCAAACAUAAAGUUAAUAAGUAGAAAAUUAUUAAUACAAUAAUUAUAUUUUAUUUUGAUUUCACAAAUUAACGGUUAAGUUAAAUAAACAGUUUAAAUCUUAAUUAAUUGGUGUUUGUAUCAAUUCAUAUUUUCAACUACUAUUUAUUCAACGUAA
This is a long non-coding RNA of Acyrthosiphon pisum (pea aphid), 374 nucleotides long. RefSeq lists it as uncharacterized. The transcript is spliced from 3 exons. NCBI's taxonomy places the organism in Eukaryota, Metazoa, Arthropoda, Insecta, Hemiptera, Aphididae. The record is from RefSeq and is a predicted model, not a curated record.